UUGAACGCUGGCGGCAUGCUUUACACAUGCAAGUCGAACGGUAACAGGUUAAGCUGACGAGUGGCGAACGGGUGAGUAAUGCAUCGGAACGUGCCCGAUCGAGGGGGAUAACGCAACGAAAGCUGCGCUAAUACCGCAUACGAUCUGAGGAUGAAAGCGGGGGACCGUAAGGCCUCGCGCGAUUGGAGCGGCUGAUGUCGGAUUAGCUGGUUGGUGGGGUAAAGGCCUACCAAGGCGACGAUCCGUAGCUGGUCUGAGAGGAUGAUCAGCCACACUGGGACUGAGACACGGUCCAGACUCCUACGGGAGGCAGCAGUGGGGAAUUUUGGACAAUGGGCGCAAGCCUGAUCCAGCCAUGCCGCGUGAGUGAAGAAGGCCUUCGGGUUGUAAAGCUCUUUCAGACGGAAAGAAAUCGGGCGGGUGAAUAGCCUGCCUGGAUGACGGUACUGUCAGAAGAAGCACCGGCUAACUACGU
Molecule: ribosomal RNA, 475 nt
Filed under: uncultured bacterium
Lineage: Bacteria
Description: bacterial SSU rRNA
Rfam family: Bacterial small subunit ribosomal RNA
Source: RNAcentral